Molecule: ribosomal RNA, 439 nt
Filed under: uncultured bacterium
Lineage: Bacteria
Description: partial 16S ribosomal RNA
Rfam family: Bacterial small subunit ribosomal RNA
Source: RNAcentral
CUACGGGAGGCUGCAGUGAGGAAUAUUGCACAAUGGGGGGAACCCUGAUGCAGCAACGCCGCGUGGAGGAUGACGCAUUUCGGUGUGUAAACUCCUUUUAUAUGUCAAGAAAAUGACGGUAGCAUAUGAAUAAGCGCCGGCUAACUCCGUGCCAGCAGCCGCGGUAAUACGGAGGGCGCAAGCGUUACUCGGAAUCACUGGGCGUAAAGGACGCGUAGGCGGGUUGAAAAGUCAGGUGUGAAAGCCUACAGCUUAACUGUAGAACUGCACUUGAAACUCUCAAUCUAGAGUAUGGGAGGGGCAGAUGGAAUUAGUGGUGUAGGGGUAAAAUCCGUAGAUAUCACUAGGAAUACCUAAAGCGAAGGCGAUCUGCUGGAACAUUACUGACGCUAAGGCGUGAAAGCGUGGGGAGCAAACAGGAUUAGAUACCCCCGUAGUC